Gossypium raimondii (Peruvian cotton) is the source of this 864-nucleotide long non-coding RNA. RefSeq lists it as uncharacterized. The record is from RefSeq and is a predicted model, not a curated record. The transcript is spliced from 3 exons. Lineage: Eukaryota; Viridiplantae; Streptophyta; Magnoliopsida; Malvales; Malvaceae.
CCUUUCAUAUUGUUUUCUUGCCAUUCUUUAGUUUCUCCCGAAAUUCAUUGUAAAGAGAGAACAGUUUCAUUCUUUGAAAUGGAAAAUGGAACCGUUUGCUCUAAAAAUGGUGGAAGACCCUCAUAUCCAUAAUCAGUUGAUUUGCAAGAUCUACGGGAUUUUCAAUUGGAUUGGUUUUUCACCUAUUAACCAGAAUCCUGCUGGACUGCUACACCAAAUCUUGGAAGAUCUUCCUGCUAUGAUUCUUAUCAUUUGCGGCUCUUUUUUUUUUAUCGUUUUCCCCCUCUAUGAUACACAGAUUGCGACCUCUGUUUUUUCCACUCUCUAUUAUUCCAAUCAAGAUAUGGACUGAAUUCUUUCUAAAAUGUAAAUUACCGCUUGGAAUGUGAGGCAUAUUGAUUCUCAACCAAAGAUAAUAUCUUGGCAGCUACCCAGAACCUUGCUAGCCGACUGUGUGUGGUGAUGGACUGGCCCUUUUGAAAGUGGGACUGUGAUCAUGUGUUUUUUUCAUUGCUAGAAUCUAGAAGUUGCUUCCAGACAAAAGAAGGGUACGGAAAACUUUAUUUGAUUGUCUUUACUACUUUUACUUGAGUACUUAGGUUUAGCUAUAAUUUCUCACCAUAUAACUACAUCGUAAAAUUGGAUCUUUUCACUCACUUCACAAAUAUUUCCUUCCAUAUUGUUUGGUUAAUUGGUGUCAAAGAAUAAUAGAAGUGUAAUUUUGGGCGUUAAUCAUUGGAUGACAGUGGCUUGAGUAAAUGUGGGGUGAAUAUGAACUUGUGUUACUUUUGUACUUUAUCUUGCUAAGAUUUGAAUUCCAAAAUAAAACGGAUGGAUUCCCCUUUUCUUUUUCCCCCUUGGUAG